This 492-nucleotide ribosomal RNA is filed under the name uncultured bacterium. Its description in RNAcentral is "partial 16S ribosomal RNA". It matches the Rfam family "Bacterial small subunit ribosomal RNA", at positions 29 to 507 of the family's 1533-position model. The record is from RNAcentral.
AGUGAACGCUGGCGGUAGGCCUAACACAUGCAAGUCGAACGGCAGCACAGUAAGAGCUUGCUCUUACGGGUGGCGAGUGGCGGACGUGUGAGGAAUACAUCGGACUCUACUUUUUCGUGGGGGAUAACGUAGGGAAAGUUACGCUAAUACCGCAUACGACCUACGGUUGAAAGCAGGGGAUCUUCGCACCUUGCGCGAUUGAAUGAGCCGCUGUCGGAUUAGCUAGUUGGCGGGGUAAAGGCCCACCAAGGCGACGAUCCGUAGCUGGUCUGAGAGGAUGAUCAGCCACACUGGAACUGAGACACGGUCCAGAGUCCUACGGGAGGCAGCAGUGGGGAAUAUUGGACAAUGGGCGCAAGCCUGAUCCAGCCGUACCGCGUGGGUGAAGAAGGCCUUCGGGUUGUAAAGCCCUUUUGUUGGGAAAGAAAAGCAGCAGGUUAAUACCCCGCUGUUCUGACGGUACCCAAAGAAUAAGCACCGGCUAACUUCGUG